RNAcentral lists this long non-coding RNA (1068 nucleotides) under Macaca mulatta (Rhesus monkey). RNAcentral describes it as "lncRNA (ENSMMUG00000050986.1)". Lineage: Eukaryota; Metazoa; Chordata; Mammalia; Primates; Cercopithecidae. The record is from RNAcentral.
GCCAUUCAGAAAGGCAAUAAGCAAGCUCUAAGAAUACGUGCUGAAAAUACAAUCCACCAGAAAAAGCAAGCAAUUGAUUUCUUAAGAGUGAGUGCUAGAGUUGAUGCUGUGGCAGCCAGAGUUCAAAAUGCAGUAACAAUGGGCAGGGUAACAAGUCCAUAUGAGGCAUAGUUAAGUCUGUGGGUGCUUCAUUGAGGAGUAGAACCUUGAAAAGACUUCUGCCUUGAUGAACAAAUUCGAACACCAGUUUGAAAUAUUGGAUAUUCAAACACAACAAAUGGAAGAUAAAAUGAGUAACUCUACAACCCUAACAACACCACAAAACCAAAUGGAUAUGCUGCUUCAGGAAAUGCCAGAUGAAGCUAGGUAAGAAGUUAUCCAGGUGAUUGUGGAAAAUCUUGAUUUAGUAUCUAGAGGUUCUAAAAUGCUGUGAUAUAGAUGAAAAUAUUUCUCUUUUCCACGAAUUGCCAGAGUUAGGUUUGUGACCCUAGAAUUUAGUGUUUCAAGGGACUUUAAACAGUCAUCUAAUUCCUUGCCAUGCUCAUAAAAAUUUGACUGUGUUUCAAUCAUCUUAGUAUUUUCUUAAAAAUUUCUGGAAAUAGACUCAUUUAGUGUGUGUAAAGAAAUAGGCAAAGGUGAUCAAAGGAAGCAGGAAUGUUUAAACAAUUACCUAAUACCUACUGUUCGCUGCAUAUAUGAAAUAUAUGGUGUGUUUUGUUUUUUGUUUUUUUUAAAAAAAGGACCUUCCAAAAUAAUUCUGCUGUGAUUAGGCCAUUGAGUCAUAAGUCUAGUUUGAGUACUGCAAACUGAGCAAUAUGUGCAAAAUGUGCAAGGGGCUCAAAAGACAGCAGUAUUACACAUAAUGAUUUGGUUGUUUCUUUUAAGUAAAUAGUUCAUACCCUUUUGUGAUAUUGUUAUUGGAAAUAGGGUGUAUAAUACAAGCUGUUUAUUUCAGGCCCUUCAUGUCAUGGGAGAAUGACUUAUCUAUGACAUCUUUGCUAUAGAGGUCAUGUUGUAUCAUUAUUCUCUGGUGUAAUGUUUGCUUCAAGAUAAUGUAGUAGUAAAAAA